UUGACGCUGAGGUUGGUACUUGUACCGACUGGAUGAGCAGCGAACGGGUGAGUAACGCGUGGGGAAUCUGCCUUUGAGCGGGGGACAACAUUUGGAAACGAAUGCUAAUACCGCAUAAAAACUUUAAACACAAGUUUUAAGUUUGAAAGAUGCAAUUGCAUCACUCAAAGAUGAUCCCGCGUUGUAUUAGCUAGUUGGUGAGGUAAAGGCUCACCAAGGCGAUGAUACAUAGCCGACCUGAGAGGGUGAUCGGCCACAUUGGGACUGAGACACGGCCCAAACUCCUACGGGAGGCAGCAGUAGGGAAUCUUCGGCAAUGGACGAAAGUCUGACCGAGCAACGCCGCGUGAGUGAAGAAGGUUUUCGGAUCGUAAAACUCUGUUGGUAGAGAANAACGUUGGUGAGAGUGGAAAGCUCAUCAAGUGACGGUAACUACCCAGAAGNGGCGGCUAACUNCGUGCCAGCAGCCGCGGUAAUACGUAGGUCCCGAGCGUUGUCCGGAUUAAUUGGGCGUAAGCGAGCGCAGGUGGUUAUNAAGUCUGGNGUAAAG
Molecule: ribosomal RNA, 550 nt
Filed under: Lactococcus lactis subsp. lactis
Lineage: Bacteria; Bacillati; Bacillota; Bacilli; Lactobacillales; Streptococcaceae
Description: bacterial SSU rRNA
Rfam family: Bacterial small subunit ribosomal RNA
Source: RNAcentral